GGCACUCAGAGACGAUGAAGGGCGUGGAUACCAACGAAAAGCUUCGGGGAGUUGGAAACAAGCAUUGAUCCGAAGAUUCCCGAAUAGGGAAACCUGUAAAACUUCUUAUUGAAUUCAUAGAUAAGAAAGAGACAACCUGCCGAAUUGAAACAUCUUAGUAAGCAGAGGAAAAAAAAGCAAAAGCGAUUUCCUUAGUAGCGGCGAGCGAAACGGAAACAGCCUAAACCCACUCAAUUUAUUGAGUGGGGGUCGUGGG
Molecule: ribosomal RNA, 256 nt
Filed under: Tetraselmis sp. GSL018
Lineage: Eukaryota; Viridiplantae; Chlorophyta; Chlorodendrophyceae; Chlorodendrales; Chlorodendraceae
Description: partial Bacterial large subunit ribosomal RNA
Rfam family: Bacterial large subunit ribosomal RNA
Source: RNAcentral